GAACGCUGGCGGCAUGCCUUACACAUGCAAGUCGAACGGCAGGCGCGGACUUCGGUCUGGCGGCGAGUGGCGAACGGGUGAGUAAUGUAUCGGAACGUACCAUUCAGUGGGGAUAACGCAGCGAAAGUUGCGCUAAUACCGCAUAUUCUGUGCGCAGGAAAGUAGGGGAUCGCAAGACCUUGCGCUGAUUGAGCGGCCGAUAUCAGAUUAGCUAGUUGGUGAGGUAAAGGCUCACCAAGGCGACGAUCUGUAGCGGGUCUGAGAGGAUGAUCCGCCACACUGGAACUGAGACACGGUCCAGACUCCUACGGGAGGCAGCAGUGGGGAAUUUUGGACAAUGGGCGCAAGCCUGAUCCAGCCAUGCCGCGUGAGUGAAGAAGGCCUUCGGGUUGUAAAGCUCUUUCGGCCGGGAAGAAAUCGUAUGGGUUAAUACCCUGUGCGGAUGACGGUACCGGCAUAAGAAGCACCGGCUAACUACGUG
RNAcentral lists this ribosomal RNA (481 nucleotides) under uncultured bacterium. Its description in RNAcentral is "bacterial SSU rRNA". It matches the Rfam family "Bacterial small subunit ribosomal RNA", at positions 31 to 507 of the family's 1533-position model. The record is from RNAcentral.